UACGGAGGGAGCUAGCGUUGUUCGGAAUUACUGGGCGUAAAGCGCGCGUAGGCGGCUUUGUAAGUUAGCUGUGAAAGCCUGGAGCUCAACUUCAGAAUUGCCUUUAAGACUGCAUCGCUUGAAUCCGGGAGAGGUGAGUGGAAUUCCGAGUGUAGAGGUGAAAUUCGUAGAUAUUCGGAAGAACACCAGUGGCGAAGGCGGCUCACUGGACCGGCAUUGACGCUGAGGUGCGAAAGCGUGGGGAGCAAACAGG
RNAcentral lists this ribosomal RNA (253 nucleotides) under uncultured bacterium. RNAcentral describes it as "partial 16S ribosomal RNA". It matches the Rfam family "Bacterial small subunit ribosomal RNA", at positions 524 to 776 of the family's 1533-position model. The record is from RNAcentral.